GACGAACGCUGGCGGCGUGCUUAACACAUGCAAGUCGAACGGAAAGGCCCUGCUUUUGUGGGGUGCUCGAGUGGCGAACGGGUGAGUAACACGUGAGUAACCUGCCCUUGACUUUGGGAUAACUUCAGGAAACUGGGGCUAAUACCGGAUAGGAGCUCCUGCUGCAUGGUGGGGGUUGGAAAGUUUCGGCGGUUGGGGAUGGACUCGCGGCUUAUCAGCUUGUUGGUUGGGUAGUGGCUUACCAAGGCUUUGACGGGUAGCCGGCCUGAGAGGGUGACCGGCCACAUUGGGACUGAGAUACGGCCCAGACUCCUACGGGAGGCAGCAGUGGGGAAUAUUGCACAAUGGGCGGAAGCCUGAUGCAGCAACGCCGCGUGUGGGAUGCCGGCCUUCGGGUUGUAAACCGCUUUCGCCUGUGACGAAGCGUUAGUGACGGUAAUGGGUAAAGAAGCACCGGCUAACUACGUG
RNAcentral lists this ribosomal RNA (468 nucleotides) under uncultured bacterium. Its description in RNAcentral is "partial 16S ribosomal RNA". It matches the Rfam family "Bacterial small subunit ribosomal RNA", at positions 28 to 507 of the family's 1533-position model. The record is from RNAcentral.